GCGGACGUGGCGAAACCGGUAGCCGCGACGGACUUAAAAUCCGUUUCUUUCGGGAGUGCGGGUUCGAGUCCCGCCGUCCGCA
This 82-nucleotide transfer RNA is filed under the name Sphingomonas arantia. Its description in RNAcentral is "tRNA-Leu". It matches the Rfam family "tRNA". Rfam says of the family: Transfer RNA (tRNA) molecules are approximately 80 nucleotides in length. Lineage: Bacteria; Pseudomonadati; Pseudomonadota; Alphaproteobacteria; Sphingomonadales; Sphingomonadaceae. The record is from RNAcentral. RNAcentral also lists the same sequence under 1 other name.